Molecule: unclassified non-coding RNA, 4637 nt
Filed under: Camponotus floridanus (Florida carpenter ant)
Lineage: Eukaryota; Metazoa; Arthropoda; Insecta; Hymenoptera; Formicidae
Description: protein retinal degeneration B, transcript variant X10
Source: RNAcentral
AACCGAGAUGACGUCGUGGCUCGUCACGGACGUCUUGACGGAACCCGAGACCCGAGGAGUCGUCGCGUAAAGAUGCCGGGGAACACCCUGCGGAUGGACGAUCGUCGUCGUGUGUGAUCGUUUAAAUCUCGUGAGUUCCCAAGGAGUGCCGGAGCCACUUGAGAGCCCAAUUGGCGAAUUGAAAAUUUCACCUGCUAACAUAAAAUGGAGUCAUCACUUGCGAUUCCCAUCGAGAAAAAUCUCUCGAGAUGUUACGAAGACGUCGAAUGCGAUUUCGGCGUCCGGUAUCCUUGAAGGAGAGAUGCACUUUGCGAAGAUGCACGGGUGAUAGAGGACAGGCUCCGAUAAAAUGUUGAUCAAGGAGUAUCGCAUACCGCUACCUCUUACGGUAGAGGAGUAUCGAAUCGCUCAGCUGUAUAUGAUAGCGAAAAAAUCGCGGGAGGAGAGCAAAGGUGCUGGCAGCGGCGUGGAGAUAAUCGAGAACGAGCCAUAUAAGAAUGGUCCAGGCGGUGAUGGCCAGUACACGCACAAGAUCUAUCACGUGGGCAGUCACCUACCGGGGUGGUUUAAGAGCUUGCUACCGAAGUCGGCGCUGAUCGCCAAGGAAGAGGCAUGGAACGCCUAUCCCUAUACUAAGACUCGCUACACGUGUCCGUUUGUAGAAAAGUUCUCCGUCGAGAUAGAGACCUACUAUUUCGCGGACAAUGGUCAUCAGGAGAAUGUUUUCAAUCUUAGCGGCAGUGAUUACAGAAACAGGAUUGUAGAUUUGAUCGACAUCGUCAAGGAUCAACCUUACGGAGCCGAUUAUGUGAAGGAAGAAGAUCCUAAGUUGUACUUGUCGGAAAAGACAGGAAGAGGCCCACUGGAGGACACAUGGCUGGUCGAUUAUUGGGCCGAUGUGGAAGGAAAGCAACAGCCAACGCCAUCGGGCAAGUCACUAAUGUGCGCGUACAAGCUAUGCCGAGUAGAGUUCCGUUAUUGGGGCAUGCAAACGAAAUUAGAAAAGUUCAUACACGACGUAGCUCUGCGGAAGACGAUGGUGCGGGCGCACAGACAAGCCUGGGCCUGGCAGGACGAGUGGAACGGUUUGACGAUGGAGGAUAUCAGGGAGAUUGAACGGCAGACGCAGCUGGCGUUGCAGCGCAAGAUGGGACUCGGCGAAUCGACGGAGCUCGAGGAGAACGAGAAUCGAGAGAGAACGACUGCGACGACGACGAUGACGACAACGACGACGACACCGGCUACUCCGGUGACGGCAAACGCCUCAAUGACGUCGCCGGAUUCAGAUGUUGCCAAGACAUUGGCGGCAACCCUGGGCAGCAUUGAAAAGGAGGAGGCGCAGAGUCCACUAUCCUUCAGGAAGCCAUCCGACAUUCCUAUCAUAAAUACGGCGGCCAGCUCCGAAAACGAAAUCAGUCCCGAAGACUCACCGGUUGACCUUAAUGAGAUCAAAACUGCGACUAGCGAUGCGAAGAGAGAGUGGAGAAAGAGUAACUUGCACUCGCCGAAUUCAAACAAGAACUUUGACAUUCAAAUCGCAAAUUGGAGGAUGGAAAGCAUCGUCAGAGAAUCCGAAUCCGGUAGCGAUGACGAGUUCUUCGAUUGUCAAGCUGGGUUCAUUAUACCUGUUAUACGCAAAGAGGACUUUGAAGAUAGCUCUUCAUUAGCUAAAUGGAGUUCUUUGGAUCUUCUAGCAGAAGGGGACGACACGACUAUGCGAACACCGCCUGCGGCAAACGAUCAAGAAGAUACAAUAUUUUCGCCUUCAUAUCUGCAACGUGUCGCCAGCGAGAGAAAUAAUAAGAGACUGCAGAUCCGCACCUCGGCCAGUAUUGAUGUGUCGUGUCCAACAUCCCCUCAGCAUUCUCCUACGCAUCAACCGUGCAAAAUUACCGUUCUAAUUAUUGUAGUGCACGGUGGUAGUGUUUUAGAUGCGAAUGUCGAUCUAACCGCGAAAAAGUCAGACAUAACAACAUUCCGCGGAGCUUUCGAAUCCGUAAUGAGGCAGCAUUAUCCCAGCAUGGUCGGACAUGUAUCCAUUAAAUUUGUUGCCUGUCCUUCCAUUUGUACCGAAGGUCUUGGAAUUUUAUCAAGUCUGAGUCCGUACAGCUUCGAUGUAUCGCCUUCAUGCAUGGAUGCGCCGCCAGUUACACAUGACACCAUUCCGAUCGGCGCAAUUCCGUUGCUGGCGAGCUCGAGUUCUGACUAUCAGGAUGCGGUAUCGCGUGUAGUGAUGGCUGCUAAUCAAGUGUAUCACGAUUUCAUCAAGAGCGAAGAGGGUAAAGGCUUCACCGGGCAGAUCUGCUUCGUGGGCGACUCAGUAGGCUCUAUCCUGACCUAUGACGCUCUGAGCAGAACAACGCAGCAUUCGAGACACAGUAGCGAGAACAGCAUCCUGGAAGGAGGUAGCGGCCAACAGAGCAAUGACAAUGGCGGUAAUGCCGAAGAUGCCAAGCAUCUAUCCGCGCCAUCUCCUAGAAGAAGGUCUUCCGGCGACAACCCACAUCAUAACAAACUGGACUUCGAGGUAGGUGAUUUUUUUACGUUUGGCAGUCCGCUUGCGCUGGUCCUCGCCUACAGGAAAACCGCCUCCACUGACAAAAAUAGCUUCAUACCCAGGCCGUUGGUCAAUCAAAUGUACAAUCUGUUUCAUCCCACGGAUCCCGUGGCUGCUAGAUUGGAACCUUUAAUCUCGGCGAGGUUCUCGCUGAUCCCGCCAGUCAAUAUUGCCCGAUAUCAAAAAUAUCCACUCGGCAACGGCCAACCUUAUCAUUUGCUGGAAACUAUCCAGACAAAUCCGCAAUUGUUCGCUGAUGGUCUCAACAUUCCGAAUAUUCAAAUGCAUUUAAGAAGACUAUCCGAUAUAUCGCUUCAAAGUACAAUGUCGGGCAUUAUCGAUAAUGUUCCCUUACAAGCCGUUUCUGCCCUGACACAAAAGUGGUGGGGCACCAAGAGACUAGACUACGCGCUCUAUUGUCCAGAAGGUCUCGCUAAUUUUCCUACAAAUGCCUUGCCGCAUCUCUUCCAUGCCAGUUAUUGGGAAUCUUUGGAUGUAAUCGCGUUUAUUCUGAGACAAUUGGGCAGAUUCGAUUUGUCGCUGCUCGGUAACGAAGAAAAGGAUCUUACUAGCUUCCGUCCAGGUCAACCCAGAGAGAAAUGGAAUAAAAAGCGUACCUCUGUUAAACUUAAGAAUGUUGCUGCCAAUCACAGAGCAAAUGAUGUCAUCGUAAGGGAAGGUGCACCACAAGUAUUAGUCGCUAGGUUCAUGUACAGUCCUAUUGAUAUGAUAACUCUAACAGGUGAAAAAGUGGAUAUUCAUAUUAUGAGAGACGCUCCGGCAGGUGAAUGGACGUACCUCUCCACCGAGGUAACUGACAAAAAUGGUAGGAUAAUUUACAAAAUACCAGAUGACAAAACGCUAAGUUACGGGCUUUAUCCAGUGAAGAUGGUUGUAAGGGGAGAUCACACGUCUGUAGAUUUUUUCAUUGCUGUGAUACCGCCGAAAACCGAAUGCGUGGUUUUCAGCAUAGACGGCUCUUUCGCCGCCAGCAGAUCAGUGAGCGGCAAAGAUCCGAAAGUCUGGGCCGGUGCUGUCGAUGUUGUGAGGCAUUGGCAAGAACUAGGUUAUCUCAUCAUUUAUAUUACUGCGAGACCUGACAUGCAACAGCAGACGGUAGUUUCCUGGCUGUCGCAGCAUAACUUUCCUCACGGUCUCGUCUCGUUCGCCGAUGGCCUGUCCAGAGAUCCGCUCGCCCACAAAGCCGCCUACUUGAAUAAGCUUGUGAAGGAGCAUGGAAUGAUAAUUCAUCAGGCGUAUGGCAGCGAGAAAGACAUUAGCGUGUAUACGGCGAUAAAUCUCAAACCGAGCCAGAUUUUCGUCAUCGGUAAAGCAUCCAAAAAGCAUCAGGCGCUGGCGACAAUACUAUAUGAUGGUUAUGCCGCCCAUUUGAGCACGCUACAAGCGCACGGGGGUUCACGUCCCGCUCAAGGCAACGCGCGUAUGGUAAUCCCCAGGGGUCAGUUUGGUUUGCCAGGACAGAAUGCUUCCUUGCGUCGGCGCAGGUGACGGUAUAACAAGAUGAAUGAUUGUGAACGUUAAUGAGAGAAAGCAGUAUCAAGGAUUACAUACCGAAAAUCUCUUUUAGGACGGCGAAGCGUGCGAUCUCGCAGCCACCCUUGGGCAAGACGCCCUUCCCGUUGGAACGAUCCACGAGCGUGGGUCCAGGAUCGAGCAACAUUCAUCGAUCGGCGGCGACUGAGAAACUUUGACGAUUCGCGCGCUGCCGCUCGUUCUUCGAGUCCCGGCGGUAGCUUCCCGCGAAGGAAGGACACGAUUCUCGGUUCCGUAUCCUCCUUUAUUCCGUUCCCUCAUUUCGUCGGGAUCUUUACUCCAAGUAAUAUAGAUCUUAUAUAGAUCUUUACGCCCUCUCGUUAAUCUCGUGAAGAUUGUGUGUGAUCUUCUGAUUAUAUAUAUUCUUCUUUUUACUCUUCUCUGUUCUUUAUAGAUCUUCGAUAACACAGGCGUUAUUGCUCCAUCUUUCGUGAUAUCUUCCUCCUAUCAUAAGUCCUUGAUCUAGAAUUUCGUAAAUUUAUGUAUAUAUUCUAUAUAUAACGAUAAGAAUAUUCUCUAUACGCUU